RNAcentral lists this unclassified non-coding RNA (425 nucleotides) under Hevea brasiliensis (rubber tree). Lineage: Eukaryota; Viridiplantae; Streptophyta; Magnoliopsida; Malpighiales; Euphorbiaceae. The record is from RNAcentral.
UGCUGCUGCAGCUGCAAGGGUUUCAAGGGGGAGAAAAAUGUCGAUUCUGUGGGAGAAGAGCGAAACAUGGAGAUGGAUUGUGAGGAAGACAAGGGACUCUAAGUCUUUCUUUUUCACCUUCGCCACCGUCUGCGGCGUCGUUCCUGGUGUCAUCGGCUAUUGCGUUAUGCAGCUCACAAACUCCCGCAACCCUGAGCUUGAGGCCCGCCUCCGUCAGAACGCCCGCCCUGAAUCCCUAAUGAUGGGGAAAGUUAAUCAAGAGAGACUAGCAGAAUACUUGGGGGAGCUGCAGCGAAAGCAGGAUACAAAUGAUCGAUAUGUUGCUGCUCUGAGAGGGGAGACAUUAACGAGGAAUCCUUACGUAAGAAUUCAACCGAUACAAAAGCAGGGCAACACGGAACCUGACAAGGAGCAGAAGAACGAAA